UAUUUGUAAAUGCAGUUGCUUUUUAUUGAGACAUAAUUUACCCAUAUAAAAUUCACCCCUUUAAAGUGUACAAUUCAGUGGGUUUUAGUGCAUUCACAAGCUUGCACAACCAUCACCACUAAUUCCAGAACAUUUUCAUCACCCCAAAAAGAAACCUUUACCCAUGAGCAGUCACUCCUCAUUUUUUCCUUCCUCAGCCCCUGGCAACCGUUAAUCUACUUUCUGUCUCUAUGGAGCUGCCUAUUCUAGAGAUUUCCUAUAAAUGGAAUCCUAUAACAUGUGGCCUUCUGUGUCUGGCUUCUUUCACUUAGCAUAAUAUUUUCCAAGUUUAUCCAUAUCUUGCAGCUGCAAUUAGUUUUUGAUAUUGAUUUGAUAUGGGAGUAUCCUGUAUCGUCUCUGCUGGAUUUUUUUCAUAGUUCUGGUAAUUCAUAGAUUAUUUGGGGUUUUCUGUGUAGACGAUCAUAUCAUCUUCAAAUAAUGCCACUUUUCCUUCUUCCUUUCCAAUCCUUCUCCCUUGCUGCUGUUUCGUUGUCUUACUGCCCCAGCUGGAGCCUUGGGUACAAUGCUGAAUAGACGCAUGGAUGAGGGCAAACAUCCCUGAUUUUAGAGAAUGUGUCCACUGCUCCUUUAAGACCUGCGUGUGUGCUGGUGUUUGUAGAUAAUCUUCAUGAGUCUACAGACAUACCUUCUAUCCCAAGUUUGCGAAAACAUUUUUAUCAUAAGUAGAUGUUGACAUUUAGUGCUAGUGCUGAGACAAUCAUACGGCUUUGCUCCCUUAAUUUAUUAACGCGAUGGAUGGCACUCACAGGCUUUCCAGCGCUAACCCACCCUUGCGUUUCUAGGGUAAACCCACUUUGGUCAUCAUGUAUAUGUCCUUUUUAUUCAUUGCUGGAUUUGUUUUGCUAAUAUUUUAUUUCGGGCUCUUGCAUGGAAUUUCAUAAGCAGUACUGGUCUCUAAUAUCCCUUUGAAUGUCCUAUGUAAACUGAAGAGCCACCUCUGAUCUAAAGCGUCUAAGCGUCUCUCUCGGAAUGCCUCUGUCCCUGUCCCUGUCUCUCAGGGCCCCUCUCUGUCCCUCCCCAAAUACACUGCUGUGGCUUGAGGGGUGCUCCCGUGGGUGGCCGACGGUGAGAGGCACCAGCAGAGGAUGGCAGCUGCAGGAGCGGGACCUCGGAUUUCGGAAGGGCCGUAGAGCUGUGAGUCCCCCGCCAGCCGAGGGGGCCGUCGCUCCUGGGCCCCUCAUUGAAGAGGGAGGUUACACAGGAAUCGCCCCCUCCCUUCGCCUUGGGGAGGGGAGCCCUCCAGAGGAAAUGGCCAGAAAGGGGCUGGGGUCAGGGGUUAAUGACCCCAUUGUGCUCAGGGCUGAUGGAUGGCCCAGCUUGUCAGUGGCUGUGGCAGAGCCAGCAGCCCCAGGGAGACCCCUUCUCCCUCCCUGCAGUCACCAUCUGAGGGAAGGUCCCUGCUGGCCUUUGAUAACCGCUGGGGGCCGCCCUCCCUGCUGUGCGGCGCCUGGCCAGCCUCUGUGGCGGGGUCUGGUCUGCUGAGGCCCAGAACAUAGCCUCCACCUCCUCUGCUCCACACCCACCCCAAUCCCUGCCACCAGGCGCUGCAGGUGGCUGAGGGUGCUGACCACGUCCCUUGCCCCCUCUGAUGUUGGGCACCCAACACAGGCUGUCCUAUGCCAGCCCUGGCCAUCUUGUCAGCCACAGGGUCCUCAGAAGUGAUCUGGUGAAGCCCAGCUCUCCCACAUUUGGGACAGGGAAAUGGGCACGACACGGUCAAGGCUCUCCUCUGGAGUGGGAGCAGGGGCAGUGCCAGGUCCUGUGACCUCCUUCUCAAACGUGCCCAGCCUGGGGCCAGCGUUGAGGGUGAGGUGAGUCAGACGCAGUCCUCCCUCAAGGGGCUCCCGGCUGGGGACCUGGGUCCAGCAUGUGCACAGAAAAGCAGAACUAAGUGCAGUAAAUGCAGUAGGCACGGUGUACCAUGGGUGCAGAAAAGGAACCCCUCGCCCAGCCAGGGGCUGGGGGAGGCUUCCAGGAAACUGGGGCUGAUUCUAAACGGGUGAGUAGAAGUUAGAUCAAAGAGGGUGGGGGCAGCAGGGAAAGGCAUUCCAGGCAGAGGGAACAGCAUAAGCAAAGGCACAGAGUAAAACCAAUGUGGUGUGUGUGAGUCACAGCAGUUCAGUGGGGAGAGAUGAGGCUAAGUAGGUCAGCUGGGCCAGGUUACCAGGGCCACAUGUGCCAUGUUAGAUGUUUAGACUUGGCAGUUUGUCACUCGAGUGGGGAAAAGAGCUGAGAGCCUGGUUCUAAUCCUGUCUCCAUCCAUCUUUAUUCAUUCUUUAGUCGUUCAGCAAACCAAGGAACAAUGUGACCUCGGGCGGGUCACUUCCUCAUGAAGCCUCCUCCAGCAGGCCCUGCACUGGGCCCCCACGGGGAACCUAAAAGACCAGGCCUGAGUGAGCACAGGUUCUCCGAUAUCUUCUUGUCACCAGGCUGGGGCGGGGCAGGGGUGCAUAAAUGUUCUCAGUCCCAGCAUGUUGAAAAACGGCCUGGGGGAUGGGAGCUUUCGAGAGAUGGUUUCAGGGUGACGAACAGGAGGUCUUAGCAGCCCCAGCGUCACAGCAGCCCGCUGCCCGGAUGGCCUCAUGGGGACUUCCGGUUACAGGGGACCAAAGGAAACCCGCGCCACGUGAGCUGGAUUUUCUGCUAUUUGUAGUCAAACGCAUUCCUAACUGACUCAAGCUCCUUACCUCUGGCUGAAAAACAUAAAAAUACACUCCAAGAUCUUACACGUGCACACGAGAAGCUUUUCCAGAGAAAUGGGACUCUCUUAAAAUACAGGAGACACUCCACAUCCCCAUUUCAGUAACUUUAAAAUUUGAAAGUGUUUAUUGCAGAAAUUUGGAAAUACAAUAAAACACAAAGCACUAAAAAAUCUUUAAAAAUCACUCAAAAUCCCACCACCCAGAAAUAACUAAGAUAAGGAUUUUUGUGUUUUCUUUCCAUUUUUUUCUACACAUUUUUUUUUUUAAGAUUUUAUUUUUUCCUUUUUCUCCCCAAAGCCCCCCGGUACAUAGUUGUGUAUUCUUCGUUGUAGGUUCCUCUAGUUGUGGCAUGUGGGACGCUGCCUCAGCGUGGUCUGACGAGCAGUGCCAUGUCCGCGCCCAGGAUUCGAACCGACGAAACACUGGGCCGCCUGCAGCGGAGCGCGCGAACUUAACCACUUGGCCACGGGGCCAGCCCCUCUACACAUUUUUAAAAGAACUUGAGCUAUAUGUUUCUUUUUGUUUUGUACUGAAGUUAUAUAUAUGCAUAUAUUGUUUUAUAUCCUGGUUUUUACUUAAGAUUAUACCAAAAACAAUUCCUAUGUCACUGAAAUUCCUCAUCAGCAUCAUUUCUGGUGGCUGCGUUAUAUUCUGUCAUAGAACCACGCUAUAAUUCAUUUCACAGGCCCCCCACAGCUGCACACUAAGAUGGUGGCCAGCUGUUCACUAUUCAAUGGGCGUCUCUGGGCAAGACUCUUUUUUUUUUUUCUUUUAAGGAAGAUCAGCCCUGAGCUAACAUCUGCUGCCAAUCUUCCUCUUUUUGCUGAGGAAGACUGGCCCUGAGCUAACAUCCGUGCCCAUCUUCCUCUACUUUAUACGUGGGACGCCUGCCACAGCAUGGCUUGCCAAGCGGUGCCAAGCGCACCCGGUAUCCAAACCGUUGAACCGAAGUGGAACGUGCGAACUUACCCACUCUGCCACCAGGCUGGCCCCUGGGCAUGGCUCUUUCUUUAGACCUGGUUCACUUUAACAAAGUGUUAUACAAGUGCAGCCUCCCCUUGUACCAAGUCACGACAGCAGCCGCUGAGCCAGGAGGCCAUCCGCGGGUCCUCUGACAAGCAGCCGCCUCGCAGGGCCCCUGGGUGUCCUGUGGUUAAAGAGCGGCUCUGUGUCCGCCCUUAAAGGCAGGCUGCAAAUGUUGUCAUCAACAAGGCCAACUUAGCAACAGAGUGUUUUGUUUGUUUUGUGAUAAGAACACUUAACAUAAGAUCUACCCUCUUAGCAAAUGUUUAAGUUUUAGCAACUGUUUCCCUCUUCCUGGACCCUCCCUCUGUCCGUCCCUGCACCUUCUAAUGACCUGUUAUUCUGCUCUGGUCUAGGCAAUCGCAGCACCAGGGUAUCACAACUGCGCCAGAAAGAAGGGGGCUCUGAGUGGGCUCCCUCAGGAGAAGUGCCUGAUGGGGGCGAGGGAACCACAGCAAGACCUGCUCUCGGAGCCUCGGGUUCCCGAGAUAAUUCAUCUGCUCUGCCUCCCUCACGGGAGCCUGGCCCCACAGAGGUCCUGGGGGUCUGCCUGCUGACCUCCUCCACCAGAGAGACAAGGCCUGGGGCCUGUAGGAUAGGGGGCAGAAGGCGGGGAGCUGAAUGAACCAUAUACAGAAGGGCUGAGGUGGCUGUGGCCACAGAAGGCCUGGGGCAGCCUCCUUCUCUCCUCUCCAGAUGCCCCCAUCCCCGCUCACACCCGGCAGGCCCCUGGAGCUUCUCCACACAACCCCAUCCCCGGCCUAGGCCAUGGGUCACUCACAGCCCUGGGACCAGGGCAGUUCGGCCCUCCCACUCUCAGCUGGGAUGUGAAGUCAGAAGCCCAGCGCAUCGGCCUGAUGGCGACCACCAUUGGUGCCAGGAGGGAGGGGUACCGCCAGACGUGGGCUUUCACCUGGCACCCUCCAGCCCUCCCGGACUCCCAGCAGACACCCGGGUCCCUCUUGUGGGAGAGGCUGAGGCUAAGCUUCUGGGUGAUCUGUUGGCUGGGGGUCUCGCUCCUUCAGGAAGAGCAGUUGAGGCAUUUUUCUCCCCCGUUAUUCCUCCUUCUGCCCCUCCCACCAAAUCAAAGGCAGCAAGCCUCUAAAAACUGCAGGUUGGCGGCUCACUGCAUCCCGAAGUAGAGAGAUCUCCCCCCGGGGGCAAAGAUGUCCAGGCAAAAGGAUGCGGCGCUCCUCAGAGGUCUCCUCGGCCAGAAGCGCCCGUCCACCCGCAGGGCCAGGUCUCUCACCCAUUUGGGCCAGGUCACCAGGAAACCUGGACGAACAGACCCCAAGGAACGUCCAGGUCUCACCCCCUGGACCAGCUGAGAGGACAGCACCCUCCUCCAACUUCUCGCGCAAACUGCCUCGGCCCCCUGCCCAGGCACCACCCUCCGCCCGCUCCUGGAGCAGCUCUUCCUCUCCUGCCCCUUCGAGGCAGAGUCCCCGGGGGCCAAGCCCCUGCCUCCCGGCUACUGGCUGGGCGACUCUCUCUCUGUCUCUUUUUGGUCACAGCUUCACUGAGAUGUAAUUCACGUACCAUACAAUCCACACACUUAAAGUACACAAUUCAGUGUUUUUCAGUAUAUUCAUAGAGUCGUACAACCAUCACCACAAUCAUUUUAGAACAUUCUCAUCACCCCAGAAAAGAAAGCCUGCACCCCUUAGCCAUCACCCCCGACUCCUGGCCCCGGGCACCCACUAACCUACUCUCUGUCUCUAGAGAUGUAGCCAUUCUGGGCAUUCCAGACUUGACGCCUCUUGCCUCAGUUUCCCCAUCUAUAAAAUGAGGAUGAUCGUGGUGCCCCCUCAUAGGGUUUGUGGAGAGGAUUCAGAUAAGUUAAUAUGAAGGCUUAGGAUCGUGUCCAGCCUGGGGUAAAUGCUGUGUCACGCCUGCUCCUGUUACUGCUCGGCAGCGUCUCCGGCGCUGGGCUCCUGGGCUGCCCGCCUGCCUUCCACUUGCCCUGUGAGCUCAUUUCGUCCUCGUCCACCUCCGCAGCCCAGACCUCUCUCUGAGACUCCAGACCUCCCGGCAGCCCCACCCAGACAGCCCCAGACUCAGCGAGUCCUUCCUCCCCAAGCCUGCCUUCCUGCUGUGUCCUUCGCUCAGGAAAUGGAAUGACCUUCCCCGGGUCACCCAGGCCAGAAACCCAGGGGUAUCCUUGACGCCUCCGUCCCCCUGUGCCUGCCCCCACCAUCUGGUCCAUCAGUCUGGACUUUGUCCCCCAACCUCUCCCUCCCCUGCCAGCUUCCCUGACCACUCUCCAUCACCAGCUCAGUGCCCACAAGCUUGGUUCUGGUGUCCAGUGUAUUUCCGUCCACCACUCACCUGCUGAGGGGUCUUGGGCAAGUUGCUUCACCUCUCUGAGCCUCAGUUACCUGGAUGAUAAAAUAGGGGGGACAAUAGUGCCUUCUUCAUCAGCUUGUUUCAAAGACGACUCAGUCGCUCCUCGCCCGGGCCCCGCCUCCGUCUUGCCCACAGCACACCUGGCACCCGCUUCAUAAGGCACCAGUUAUGGAGCGCUGACCACGCGUAGGACACGAAGCGAAGGCCCCUGUGCGCUACUCCCUUAACCAUCACGACACUCUCACGAAGCAGGGGCUGCCCCCCUCGCUCUACAGAUGAGGAAACUGAGGCCCAAGGUCCCUGAGCUGGAGUUAACCACUGCCUCAGGGAACACUGCUGGCAUUCUGCAUUGAUUCAAAACAUUUAUUGAGCACCUACUGUGUGCCAGACACUGAGCUCCAUCCUGUGAAAACAGUAAUAAAGCAGACUGGCAUAGACCAGCCCACAUGAUCUUUCUAGAACACAAAUCUGACCCCUCUAAAAUCCUUCAGUGACAACCCCACUGCACUCAGGAUCCAGUCCAUAUCCCUUAUCAGGGCACCCUGGG
This is a long non-coding RNA of Equus asinus (donkey), 6678 nucleotides long. The record is from Ensembl. Lineage: Eukaryota; Metazoa; Chordata; Mammalia; Perissodactyla; Equidae.